Molecule: unclassified non-coding RNA, 510 nt
Filed under: Hevea brasiliensis (rubber tree)
Lineage: Eukaryota; Viridiplantae; Streptophyta; Magnoliopsida; Malpighiales; Euphorbiaceae
Source: RNAcentral
GUUUCAAACACAAGCAUUUUCUUAUCUGGGGAUAAAACAGAAUGCUGAUAUUCUGUCAUGGCUGUGUCUGGGGGACACAUGGGACUAUUGCAUAGAGAUCUGAAUGUUAUCUCCCUCACUUGACCAUCAUAUUCAUCUGCACCAUGCCACUGUCCUAUAAUAAGAUUUGUAUCCUUUCUAGUUGAACGAUACUCAUUUGUAAACUUAGAGUCAUCAUUUAACAAUAUAAUAAAGAACUGCUCAGCUGUACAAGGAAAUACACCAUUAUAUAUACCGACAAGAACCUCUUCUUUGAUGAAUGCUUGAUGGUUUUCAACUUUGGGUACAGUAUCUUCAGGAAUCUUGAUACUACCUCUAACAGAGCUACUAUGAGCACGCAGUGCUGAUUCUGCUCUCUCCUUCUUUUCAGCUUCUAACAUAGCAUGGUAGUUCUUUGCUGCACGUUGCAGUGCUCUUAAUGCAUGAUUCCUGUUCCAAAAGGAUGCAAAUUUAUACCUGACUCUACCUGCA